RNAcentral lists this transfer RNA (75 nucleotides) under Gammaproteobacteria bacterium. RNAcentral describes it as "tRNA-Val". It matches the Rfam family "tRNA". From Rfam's summary of the family: Transfer RNA (tRNA) molecules are approximately 80 nucleotides in length. Their secondary structure includes four short double-helical elements and three loops (D, anti-codon, and T loops). RNAcentral also lists the same sequence under 3 other names. Lineage: Bacteria; Pseudomonadati; Pseudomonadota; Gammaproteobacteria. The record is from RNAcentral.
AGGCGCGUAGCUCAGUGGUAGAGCACUACCUUGACAUGGUAGGGGUCGGUGGUUCAAUCCCACUCGCGCCUACCA